This 378-nucleotide ribosomal RNA is filed under the name uncultured bacterium. RNAcentral's name for it is "partial 16S ribosomal RNA". It matches the Rfam family "Bacterial small subunit ribosomal RNA", at positions 338 to 733 of the family's 1533-position model. The record is from RNAcentral.
CCUACGGGCGGCAGCAGUGGGGAAUAUUGCACAAUGGGGGAAACCCUGAUGCAGCGACGCCGCGUGAGCGAUGACGUAUUUCGGUAUGUUAAGCUCUUUCUGUCGGGGAGCAAAUGACGGUACCUGUAUAAGAAGCCCCGGAUAACUACGUGCCAGCAGCCGCGGUAAUACGUAGGCGGCCAGCGUUAUCCGGAUGUACUGGGUGUAAAGGGGGCGUAGACGGCGGGGCAAGCCAGAUGUGAAAGGCUGGGGCUCAAACCCGGGACUGCAGUUGGAACUUUGCGGAUAGAGUGUGGGAGAGGGAUGCGGAAUGCGUGGUGUAGCGGUGAAAUGCGUAGAUAUUAGGAAGAACACCAGUGGCGAAGGCGGCCUGCGGGA